Notechis scutatus (mainland tiger snake) is the source of this 601-nucleotide non-coding RNA. The record is from RefSeq and is a predicted model, not a curated record. Lineage: Eukaryota; Metazoa; Chordata; Lepidosauria; Squamata; Elapidae.
GUAUGAAAAAUAGUUAUAAGUCACUUUUUUCAGUGUUGUAACUUUGAAUGGUCACUAAAUAAACUGAGGACUACCUGUAAUUUUCUAAAUUAUUCUUAUGACAAAUUACUAAAGCCAGCAAAGAAGCCCCCCCCUCCCCCCAAAAAAAAACAAAAAACAAAAAAAAGUCCUGGCAGCAUGGCAGCACCUGGCUGACCUUGAUUUGGAUUAGAAGCUAAACCGAAUUGAGCCAGGUUAGUAUUUGGAUCAGAGACCGUAAAAGUACUUGCAGCAUAAGCUAAACUGGGAAGCUGAAAAGUAACCUGAAGAAGUCAAUAACAAGCAACUUUUAUUCUAUUGUCAAGGAAGCUUCUUGGACACGUCCAUGAAAUCACUAGAAGUUAAGUUUGUGUUGAAAAAUACAUUUGUAGUCACCCUUCAGAGAUGUGAAUGAUCUAAUCAUAUCUAUUUGAUAUAGGUCAUGAAUCCAAUUCAGGAAAAAAAGUGGCUUUGUGAAUAUUCAAGCAUGGCUUAAAUCACUGAAUUGUUUCAAAAGCAUCCUAUUCAGUUUUGCAUGUCAAAUUGAUUCUAAAAUGAGAAUUGACAAUUUGAUUUAAGGGGA